RNAcentral lists this ribosomal RNA (336 nucleotides) under Salmonella enterica subsp. enterica serovar Typhimurium. RNAcentral describes it as "bacterial LSU rRNA". It matches the Rfam family "Bacterial large subunit ribosomal RNA", at positions 504 to 741 of the family's 2925-position model. The record is from RNAcentral. Lineage: Bacteria; Pseudomonadati; Pseudomonadota; Gammaproteobacteria; Enterobacterales; Enterobacteriaceae.
UGAGGGAAAGGCGAAAAGAACCCCGGCGAGGGGAGUGAAAAAGAACCUGAAACCGUGUACGUACAAGCAGUGGGAGCCCCACCACUAAGCCAGUGGUGAACUCCACAUCCGCAUCCUUUGCUGAGGAUACGGUUAACGGAGCGAAAGCGACGUUCAACCGCAAAACAAGCAGAGGGGGCUUAGUGGUGGGGUGACUGCGUACCUUUUGUAUAAUGGGUCAGCGACUUAUAUUCUGUAGCAAGGUUAACCGAAUAGGGGAGCCGGAGGGAAACCGAGUCUUAAUUGGGCGUUAAGUUGCAGGGUAUAGACCCGAAACCCGGUGAUCUAGCCAUGGGC